CCCACCCGUGUGGCAGGCCGUGUGACAAAACAUGGCUUUGAGAUCCACGAGAAGGCCAUGAGCGAUUUCGUGGGCUGAAACAGUAUUGGGCCAUUUUGGGCCGAACUGGGUCAUGUGGGCCCAAUGGGGUUGUGGACCCCACACAGGAAAAUCACACAAAAGUGUGGUAAAUGUUGGGCCAGGCUAUGUAAACCACACGGCUAAGGCCAUUGUUGGGCUAUGUGGGCCAUACGAGAGUGUGGACCCGUAAUAAGGGCCAUGGGCCCAUUAUCACCGAUUGACUGUUAAGGUUGCACGAGUCGCCCAAGACGACUGUGGACCUACUGUUGGGC
RNAcentral lists this long non-coding RNA (332 nucleotides) under Gossypium barbadense (sea-island cotton). RNAcentral's name for it is "long non-coding RNA (GBAR_LNC004311)". The record is from RNAcentral. Lineage: Eukaryota; Viridiplantae; Streptophyta; Magnoliopsida; Malvales; Malvaceae.